UACGUAGGGUGCGAGCGUUGCCCGGAUUUAUUGGGCGUAAAGGGCGCGUAGGUGGUCACGCACGUCCGUUGUGAAAUCGCUCGGCUCAACUGGGCGGGGUCAGCGGAUACGGCGUGGCUGGAGCAAGCUAGGGGGCAAUGGAAUUCCCGGUGUAGUGGUGGAAUGCGUAGAUAUCGGGAGGAACACCAGUGGCGAAGGCGGUUGCCUGGAGCUUUGCUGACGCUGAUGCGCGAAAGCGUGGGGAGCGAUCCGG
This 253-nucleotide ribosomal RNA is filed under the name uncultured bacterium. Its description in RNAcentral is "partial 16S ribosomal RNA". It matches the Rfam family "Bacterial small subunit ribosomal RNA", at positions 524 to 776 of the family's 1533-position model. The record is from RNAcentral.